RNAcentral lists this transfer RNA (60 nucleotides) under Trybliographa sp. ZJUH 20220008. Its description in RNAcentral is "tRNA-Ser". Lineage: Eukaryota; Metazoa; Arthropoda; Insecta; Hymenoptera; Figitidae. The record is from RNAcentral.
GAAAUAAUUAAAGUUAAUCUUCUAAAUUAAUUAUAAAUGACAACCAUCAUUUUUAUUUCU